GCGGUCAUGUUGGAAUUGGUAGACAAGCUUGGUUGAGGGCCAAGUGGAGCAAUCCAUUGAGAGUUCAAGUCUCUCUGACCGCACCA
RNAcentral lists this transfer RNA (86 nucleotides) under Candidatus Allofontibacter communis. Its description in RNAcentral is "tRNA-Leu". It matches the Rfam family "tRNA". Rfam says of the family: Transfer RNA (tRNA) molecules are approximately 80 nucleotides in length. Their secondary structure includes four short double-helical elements and three loops (D, anti-codon, and T loops). Lineage: Bacteria; Pseudomonadati; Pseudomonadota; Alphaproteobacteria; Candidatus Pelagibacterales; Candidatus Pelagibacteraceae. The record is from RNAcentral. RNAcentral also lists the same sequence under 4 other names.